UGCACAAAAGUCCGGAGAGAA
This 21-nucleotide microRNA is filed under the name Heligmosomoides polygyrus. Its description in RNAcentral is "hpo-miR-10143-3p". Lineage: Eukaryota; Metazoa; Nematoda; Chromadorea; Rhabditida; Heligmosomidae. The record is from miRBase by way of RNAcentral.